UAGGGCUUUUAUCUUCUACUCCUGAGAACUGCUAUUAAGUGGAUACUUUGGAAUUCCAAAUGCUAUUUUAUAAAAAGCAAUGGACUGUGAGAAACUGAUGCUUCAUCAACCUUGAGAAAAACUUUAUGGUUCAAGGAUUCAACAAAUUCAGCAGGGGGCAGCAGGGCAGAGCUGAAAGAUCGUGAGCUUUGGCAUCAGACAGACCUGGGUUGUGAUCCCUGUUCUGCCUUGUUUUCACAAUACAACAGUGGACAGAUGAGCCUCUCUCAGCCUUAGUUUCUAUUUCUGUAAGAUAGAUAUUAUCACCCAUCUUCCACAGCUGUUGUGAGGACGAAAUGCAAUAAUGCAGUUCUAGCCCACAAAUGAUGGUCAACAAGGCUAGUUCCUUCCCCGUCUCCCACAUACUCUUUUCUAAUGGGCACACAUUUGGCAGUCUCAGUUGUUUGGGACAUGGGAAGACCUCAAAAAGAAGCUUAAAACAAUCUAAGUAGAAAAAGAGAUGUUAUAAAGUCCAUUCAUCAAAACAUCUCAUAGAGGAACACCUCAGAUGUAUAUAUAUGUAUUUAUUUUUGGCUAGGAUUGCAAUAAGCUGAAUUUCUGGUUCUCUAACCAUAACACUUAAGAAGCCCUACCCUGGAUAAAGAGAAGGGAAGUAAGCUACUUGAGGUGGGCACCAUGACUGAAACAAAUAGUGACGUGAUAGUGCCACGCUGAGGGAGGAAGCAGUAAGACCACACCUGUUAGACACGGGAGCUAACAGAAGAGCAGUUUAGAAUCACUCCCAGCAGGGCUGAAGGGUUCUGUAGCCUCAUUUCUCCACUUCCUGGAAGCUAUCUUCAUAUUACAGAAUAAUCUGCAACUGUUGUUGUUCCUUAUGAUGACCCUGACUCAUAAAAAGAAAGGUUUCAUUAUGUCUGUAGUAAUGCAUUCGAGAAGGCAGGCAUGUAACGCACUUCCUAAGUUGCAACCAAAUUUUUGAAACUUGAAGAUGUGAGCUUUGAUUAUAUGGACACGGAACUGUUCCUUCUCCCAUUGCCAUAUUUCUGGACAGCGGUCCUAUGAAGAUAUUAGUACUUUAUCAAGUACUUUUCAUCUACAUCACCUCCCUGUGGUAUGUUGGGCAGGUAUCCACUGUUUCCAUUUUACAGAUGUGGAAACUGAGGCCUGGCGAGAUUAACUCCAUGGUAGAGCUGAGAUUCAAGCCCAACUCCCGUGACUCCAAAGCUCAUGCCUUUUCUACUAUACCACAUUCCUCCCUAAAGCAGUCAUCCGGAAUAUGAACAUGCAGAACAUAUUAUAGGUAAUGGUUCACAUCCCAAAUGAAUUAAAUACAUCGAAAAAUUAA
This is a non-coding RNA of Equus caballus (horse), 1345 nucleotides long. NCBI's taxonomy places the organism in Eukaryota, Metazoa, Chordata, Mammalia, Perissodactyla, Equidae. The record is from RefSeq and is a predicted model, not a curated record.